This is a long non-coding RNA of Dreissena polymorpha, 223 nucleotides long. RefSeq lists it as uncharacterized. The record is from RefSeq and is a predicted model, not a curated record. Lineage: Eukaryota; Metazoa; Mollusca; Bivalvia; Myida; Dreissenidae. The transcript is spliced from 3 exons.
CAACAACAACUUGGCUGUAACACUUGAGAAGUUUAUUGAUUACACAGUCACUAAUGAACUAUGAGUGAAGACCUGUAUGAGUAUGAUUCUGAAGUAACUGAUGGCAGUGAUGCAGUUAUAGAGCCAUCUGACAAAGAAACACAGCCACCUCUGGAGGAAUGUGGUCAGGAAGUUGAAUGGUCCCAGUCACCAUUAGGAUAUUUUGUAAGUCAUGGCGAAGGUA